UCCCUGAGACCUUAACCUGUGU
Molecule: microRNA, 22 nt
Filed under: Eisenia fetida (common brandling worm)
Lineage: Eukaryota; Metazoa; Annelida; Clitellata; Crassiclitellata; Lumbricidae
Description: Efe-Mir-10-P3i_5p (mature (guide))
Source: RNAcentral